RNAcentral lists this ribosomal RNA (373 nucleotides) under uncultured organism. Its description in RNAcentral is "partial 16S ribosomal RNA". It matches the Rfam family "Bacterial small subunit ribosomal RNA", at positions 526 to 896 of the family's 1533-position model. The record is from RNAcentral.
GUAGGGGUGCGAGCGUUAAUCGGAAUUACUGGGCGUAAAGCGUGCGCAGGCGGUUUGUAAGACAGGGCGUGAAAUCCCCGGGGCUCAACCUGGGAACUGCGUUUGUGACUGCAAGGCUAGAGUAUGGCAGAGGGGGGUGGAAUUCCACGUGUAGCAGUGAAAUGCGUAGAGAUGUGGAGGAACACCGAUGGCGAAGGCAGCCCCCUGGGCCAAUACUGACGCUCAUGCACGAAAGCGUGGGUAGCAAACAGGAUUAGAUACCCUGGUAGUCCACGCCCUAAACGAUGUCAACUAGGUGUUGGGUGGGUAAAACCAUUUAGUACCGGAGCUAACGCGUGAAGUUGACCGCCUGGGGAGUACGGCCGCAAGGUUA